CAGUAGCGUAUAUUAAAGUUGUUGCAGUUAAAAAGCUCGUAGUUGGAUUUCUGACUUCAAACACCUGACCCUCCCUCGCUAGAGGUGUGUGUGCCGGAGUGUUUGUAUCAUCCUUUCAGUGAUCGGUUCUACCCUUAACCGGGUCGGAACUGUUAACUGGAUCUUUUACUUUGAAGAAAUUGGAGUGUUUAAAGCAGGCUUACGCCAGAACAUAUUAGCAUGGAAUAAUAAUUUAGGACUUUUGUUCUAUUUUGUUGGUUUCUAGGACGAAAGUAAUGAUUGAUAGGGGUAGUUGGGGGUGCUAGUAUUCGGCGGCCAGAGGUGAAAUUCUUUGAUUUGUUAAAGACGGACUACUGCGAAAGCAUUUGCCAAGGAUGUUUUCAUUGAUCAAGAACGAAAGUUAGGGGAUCGAAGACGAUCAGAUACCAU
Molecule: ribosomal RNA, 429 nt
Filed under: uncultured eukaryote
Lineage: Eukaryota
Description: bacterial SSU rRNA
Rfam family: Eukaryotic small subunit ribosomal RNA
Source: RNAcentral